UAGAGUUUGAUCCUGGCUCAGGAUGAACGCUAGCGGCAGGCCUAACACAUGCAAGUCGAGGGAGAAGCCCUUUCGGGGGCAGAAACCGGCGCACGGGUGCGUAACGCGUAUGCAACCUACCUUUCACAGGGGGAUAGCCCGAAGAAAUUUGGAUUAAUACCCCAUAAUAUUAUUGGAAGGCAUCAUUUGAUAAUUAAAACUGCGCGUGGUGAAAGAUGGGCAUGCGUCCUAUUAGCUAGUUGGAGUGGUAACGGGCACCCCGAAGGCUACGAUAGGUAGGGGUCCUGAGAGGGAGAUCCCCCACACUGG
Molecule: ribosomal RNA, 309 nt
Filed under: uncultured Capnocytophaga sp.
Lineage: Bacteria; Pseudomonadati; Bacteroidota; Flavobacteriia; Flavobacteriales; Flavobacteriaceae
Description: bacterial SSU rRNA
Rfam family: Bacterial small subunit ribosomal RNA
Source: RNAcentral